Molecule: ribosomal RNA, 327 nt
Filed under: uncultured eukaryote
Lineage: Eukaryota
Description: partial 18S ribosomal RNA
Rfam family: Eukaryotic small subunit ribosomal RNA
Source: RNAcentral
CCCUUAGAUGUUCUGGGCCGCACGCGCGCUACACUGAUUCAUGCAACAAGUUUUGUCCUUGGCUGAUAGGCCUGGGUAAUCUUUGAACGUGAAUCGUGAUGGGGAUAGAUGAUUGCAAUUAUUCAUCUUCAACGAGGAAUUCCUAGUAAACGCAAGUCAUCAGCUUGCAUUGAUUACGUCCCUGCCCUUUGUACACACCGCCCGUCGCACCUACCGAUUGAAUGGUCCGGUGAAAUCUUCGGAUCUGAGAGAUGUCUGAUUAAUUUCGGACGCCUUUUGGAAAAGUUGCUUAAACCUUNCNAUUUAANGGAAGGUGAANUCGUANCA